AACGAACGCUGGCGGCAUGCCUAACACAUGCCAGUCGAACGAGACCUUCGGGUCUAGUGGCGUACGGGUGCGUAACGCGUGGGAACCUGCCCUUAGGUUCGGAAUAACUCCCCGAAAGGGGUGCUAAUACCGGAUAAUGUCUUCGGACCAAAGAUUUAUCGCCUUUGGAUGGGCCCGCGUUGGAUUAGCUAGUUGGUAGGGUAAAAGCCUACCAAGGCGACGAUCCAUAGCUGGUCUGAGAGGAUGAUCAGCCACACUGGGACUGAGACACGGCCCAGACUCCUACGGGAGGCAGCAGUGGGGAAUAUUGGACAAUGGGCGAAAGCCUGAUCCAGCAAUGCCGCGUGAGUGAUGAAGGCCUUAGGGUUGUAAAGCUCUUUUACCCGGGAUGAUAAUGACAGUACCGGGAGAAUAAGCGCCGGCUAACUCCGUG
RNAcentral lists this ribosomal RNA (433 nucleotides) under uncultured bacterium. RNAcentral's name for it is "partial 16S ribosomal RNA". It matches the Rfam family "Bacterial small subunit ribosomal RNA", at positions 29 to 507 of the family's 1533-position model. The record is from RNAcentral.